GAGUUCGCGGGAGAGUAAGUUAUUGCCAGGGUUUUUAUUUUAUACUUUAAACCUUGAAUUUAUUUUUUAAAUGUUUAUAUUAUUUGAAUAAAACAUUCAAAUAAUAAAAAAAAUAAUAUAUAUAUUGACAUGGAGUAAACAAAGAUAUAUAUUAUUCUAUGUUGUAUUAACAAAUUGGCAAAAUAGAGAUGGAAGAUAAAAAUAUGGUCAAAGUAAUAAGAGUCUAUGGUGAAUGCC
Molecule: unclassified non-coding RNA, 237 nt
Filed under: Borreliella afzelii
Lineage: Bacteria; Pseudomonadati; Spirochaetota; Spirochaetia; Spirochaetales; Borreliaceae
Description: partial 5S-23S ribosomal RNA intergenic spacer
Source: RNAcentral